RNAcentral lists this ribosomal RNA (301 nucleotides) under uncultured bacterium. Its description in RNAcentral is "partial 16S ribosomal RNA". It matches the Rfam family "Bacterial small subunit ribosomal RNA", at positions 509 to 807 of the family's 1533-position model. The record is from RNAcentral.
CAGUCGCCACGGUAAUACAGAGGGUGCAAGCGUUAAUCGGAAUUACUGGGCGUAAAGCGCGCGUAGGUGGUUUGUUAAGUUGGAUGUGAAAGCCCCGGGCUCAACCUGGGAACUGCAUCCAAAACUGGCAAGCUAGAGUACGGUAGAGGGUGGUGGAAUUUCCUGUGUAGCGGUGAAAUGCGUAGAUAUAGGAAGGAACACCAGUGGCGAAGGCGACCACCUGGACUGAUACUGACACUGAGGUGCGAAAGCGUGGGGAGCAAACAGGAUUAGAUACCCGUGUAGUCCCUGUCUCUUAUAC